ACGUCAACAAGAGUUUCACGAUAAAAUAGUGGAGCAAAGAGAGAAGGGAAGUAUUGGCCAUACGCUCAUUCCUGAUACACUCAUUUUCGACUGUUCAUUUUUGACCGAAAACAGAAAAAGCUCCAAAAUGUCAUUCGGAGACGGCUGCACAAGCGGUGGACACAACUGCUGCACAAUCCUCUAAACUCAGAACAUUCGAGUGCAUUAAUAUUGCACUAACAGAUACUUAGUAGUAUAGAAGAGUCUUUUAGCACAUACAGUAACAUUAUCAUUCAGUACAUUUAUAAUACUUUUAGUACAUUCAUGAUACUUUAGUACAUUUAUGAUAUCAUUGUUUAGCUCAAAAGUGGCCGUUAAUUUAUAUUUCUUCACAAAAAAGUGAAUAAUUACUACUUACAAUGUAAAUACAUGUACUCAAUGUCAGCCUAUGGUAGCUGCAGGCAAACCAAAAUAUCAAAUAAAAGAUGCAAGCCAUUAAAGACAUACUCAUGUCAUCCAGUUACAUACAUUUCAAUGCUAAGCACAAAUAUAGAUGGUCUACAUACAAAAUUUAGAAAACUUCAAAGCAACAUAUGAACAUACAUGUACAUGUACAUAUAUAUGUAGGUUAUUCAUUGGUUAGUUCAUUCCACCAAUGAAACCUUAAGAUACAGUGGAAGAGGGAGGGACUUUUAAUGCAGCGCUUUAUAAACAAUUCACAUUCAUUAGGAGACAAACAUGUCUCAGGUGGGCCGGAAUGGGAGUGACGUAGUGGGGCUUCCCAAGUUACCAUGUCAACACACUUCCACCCUAAAUAGCGGAGGUUUCACAGAAGUAAAGAAUAGGCCAUAACAACAAGUAAUUCUAACAAUUUAUUAUUUGAGCAAAAACAAAAGGAAAAACCAAAAUGGCAAAUGGAGAUGGAUCAAGUAGUGAUGGAAACUGUGACUGCUGUUGUUGCACAAUCCUUUAAACUCAAAACUCUCGUGUGCAUUAAUAUUGCACUGACAUACAUGUACACUUAGUAGUACAAAAGAGUCUUUUUAUCAGUUAUAGUAAAAUAUUAGUCCGUCCAUUUUUUAACUCGAUUUAUAAUACUAACGUACACGUAACUUAGAUUUUCUUAGAAAAAAAGGCCAUUAUUAAAACAAUUUUAUGUAUCUGUUAUAUGAUCAAAAGGCAGCUUAAAGCAAAUCCAAAUAUCAAAAAAAAGAUGCUGACUGCUGAAAACUAUAUUCCUAAUAAGGAUUCGGGGAAGUUUAAAAUAGUACUUGACCAAUGAGCGAACAGAGAGAGGGAGGGAAAGAGGGAGGAUGAUGUCAUCUAAAGGCCUUCACGUGAACGGCUUUAUAAAAACAGCUAAGAAUAAUAGAAUAAUAGCCGGUUCCCCUAAUAGCUCUCUCUUACUAGCAAACUGAUCAACGAAAAGAAGCAAGCAAAAUGAACGGAGAUGGUGACAAAGGAGGUGGAAAUAAUUGGUGUGAGAAGUACUGUAUCAUUUUAUGAAGAAAUGAACUGCUACUUUUAGCUACUAUAGUCUUUUAACACUGUUUUAUUAGUUAGUUAUAGUGCAUUAAUGCUGUUUGUUAGUGAAAAUUAAUCAAAUAAGCACCACA
Molecule: long non-coding RNA, 1595 nt
Filed under: Amphimedon queenslandica
Lineage: Eukaryota; Metazoa; Porifera; Demospongiae; Haplosclerida; Niphatidae
Description: uncharacterized LOC109585171, transcript variant X1
Source: RNAcentral